Small nucleolar RNA from Microtus oregoni (creeping vole), 101 nucleotides. NCBI's taxonomy places the organism in Eukaryota, Metazoa, Chordata, Mammalia, Rodentia, Cricetidae. The record is from RefSeq and is a predicted model, not a curated record.
AGACAUUGAUUUUCCAGUCAAAUCCAGUGCUAUCGGAUUUCCAGUGACACAUGACUGACUGGCUGGCUGGUGGCUUUCAGUUUCAGGUCUUGGAGACACAC